This 508-nucleotide ribosomal RNA is filed under the name uncultured bacterium. RNAcentral describes it as "partial 16S ribosomal RNA". It matches the Rfam family "Bacterial small subunit ribosomal RNA", at positions 28 to 505 of the family's 1533-position model. The record is from RNAcentral.
GACGAACGCUGGCGGCGUGCUUAACACAUGCAAGUCGAACGAAGAGCGAUGGAAGCUUGCUUCUAUCAAUCUUAGUGGCGAACGGGUGAGUAACGCGUAAUCAACCUGCCCUUCAGAGGGGGACAACAGUUGGAAACGACUGCUAAUACCGCAUACGAUCUAAUCUCGGCAUCGAGGAUAGAUGAAAGGUGGCCUCUACAUGUAAGCUAUCACUGAAGGAGGGGAUUGCGUCUGAUUAGCUAGUUGGAGGGGUAACGGCCCACCAAGGCGAUGAUCAGUAGCCGGUCUGAGAGGAUGAACGGCCACAUUGGGACUGAGACACGGCCCAGACUCCUACGGGAGGCAGCAGUGGGGAAUCUUCCGCAAUGGACGAAAGUCUGACGGAGCAACGCCGCGUGAGUGAUGACGGCCUUCGGGUUGUAAAGCUCUGUUAAUCGGGACGAAAGGCCUUCUUGCGAAUAGUGAGAAGGAUUGACGGUACCGGAAUAGAAAGCCACGGCUAACUACG